GUUGCACACAAAACCCAAAGUCAUUAUAUUUCAUUGUUUUAAUGUCUUUUUUUUAGUGUGCAGAAAUUAAUUGUACCUUCGUCGCCUUUCGAAAUCUUUUAUGUUUCGCAAAGUGAAAUUGAAGGUACAAUAUGC
This is a small nucleolar RNA of Carcharodon carcharias (great white shark), 135 nucleotides long. RefSeq annotates it as small nucleolar RNA SNORA68. Lineage: Eukaryota; Metazoa; Chordata; Chondrichthyes; Lamniformes; Lamnidae. The record is from RefSeq and is a predicted model, not a curated record. The transcript has a single exon.